AGGACUGUAGCUCAAUUGGCAGAGCACCGGUCUCCAAAACCGGGGGUUGGGGGUUCGAUUCCCUCCAGUCCUG
This 73-nucleotide transfer RNA is filed under the name Candidatus Zixiibacteriota bacterium. RNAcentral describes it as "tRNA-Trp". It matches the Rfam family "tRNA". Rfam says of the family: Transfer RNA (tRNA) molecules are approximately 80 nucleotides in length. The record is from RNAcentral. Lineage: Bacteria; Pseudomonadati; Candidatus Zixiibacteriota.